This 18-nucleotide non-coding RNA is filed under the name Arabidopsis thaliana (thale cress). Lineage: Eukaryota; Viridiplantae; Streptophyta; Magnoliopsida; Brassicales; Brassicaceae. RNAcentral also lists the same sequence under 2 other names. The record is from RNAcentral.
GGGAGUAACUAUGACUCU